Molecule: ribosomal RNA, 497 nt
Filed under: uncultured bacterium
Lineage: Bacteria
Description: partial 16S ribosomal RNA
Rfam family: Bacterial small subunit ribosomal RNA
Source: RNAcentral
GAUGAACGCUGGCGGCGUGCCUAAUACAUGCAAGUCGAGCGAACAGACGAGGAGCUUGCUCCUCUGACGUUAGCGGCGGACGGGUGAGUAACACGUGGAUAACCUACCUAUAAGACUGGGAUAACUUCGGGAAACCGGAGCUAAUACCGGAUAAUAUAUUGAACCGCAUGGUUCAAUAGUGAAUGACGGUUUUGCUGUCACUUAUAGAUGGAUCCGCGCCGGAUUAGCUAGUUGGUAAGGUAACGGCUUACCAAGGCAACGAUGCGUAGCCGACCUGAGAGGGUGAUCGGCCACACUGGAACUGAGACACGGUCCAGACUCCUACGGGAGGCAGCAGUGGGGAAUCUUCGGCAAUGGGCGAAAGCCUGACGGAGCAACGCCGCGUGAGUGAUGAAGGUCUUCGGAUCGUAAAACUCUGUUAUUAGGGAAGAACAAAUGUGUAAGUAACUAUGCACGUCUUGACGGUACCUAAUCAGAAAGCCACGGCUAACUACGUG